This is a long non-coding RNA of Aethalodelphis obliquidens (Pacific white-sided dolphin), 1776 nucleotides long. RefSeq lists it as uncharacterized. The transcript has 3 exons. The record is from RefSeq and is a predicted model, not a curated record. NCBI's taxonomy places the organism in Eukaryota, Metazoa, Chordata, Mammalia, Artiodactyla, Delphinidae.
GAGAAACCAGGCGAUAAAACCCCAAUACUUCAGGCUUCAUCUGGAACCAGCACAUAAGCAAAUGAGGACUCACCAUCCUCCCUGCCCACAACACCCUCUCCCUGGGACCAGAGACGCACUACCUUCCUGAGGCUAGGCAUCCCCUCAUCCCGUCUCCCCUCAGGCUUCCUGGUACCUAUGAGGAGAGACCACAGGUCUGGCUGAGGAUACCUUCAAGGCACCCUAGGUCAGCCUGAGUUGACGACCGUGACCAUGACGCUCAAGAAACCAGGGCUCAGAGAGGUUAAGCCACUUGCCCAAGGCCCCCACCUGGACGGGACUCCUGCUUUAUAUAUAGGACGUAGGUCCUGGAUCAUUCGGGACUAUGACUUCAUGGCUGUACGUGGGUUACACCUCUGAUGAGGUAUCCGUCCUCCACGAUCCCUCAGCAGGGGUUGCCCCGCACACGAGGUAGGAUGGGCAGCUGCAGGUGCCCCCAAGGGAGAUGGGGGAGGGGCCGAGGGAGGGGCCCUGGAAUCAGUCCCAGCAUUCCCCAGGGCUGUGACUUCACGGAUCUGAAAGUGCUUGCACGGGUGUGCCGGGACCAUGGAGCCAGGCUGGGGGUGGGGUGGAGGCUCUCAGGGGAAAAGCCAGAGGGAGACGGUGAAUGGUGGGGGUAGGGGGGACCACGGGGCACUCACAAGAAGCCUGGAGGUGCUGGAUCCAAUCUGAGCAGGCAGGGCGGGCAGGUGGGGCGCUCCAGCUCUGUUUCCGGGGAGGCGCUUCACCUGCCUGACCUGCACCUGGGUGAGCUCAGGCGGGGGUGGGGGGUAGGGGGGGAGGAUCAACAGGUGUUUCCAAGGCAGGGCCUGAGACGAUUGGCUGACGUGGCGCUGCUCCUUCUGCUGGGCUGAGGCAUUCCUGGGAAGGGAGGGGCUUCUGUCCCUUGCUGUUAGGGCACGAAGACAAUUUCCAGACCCGGGCAGCAGUAGGAAUGUUGUCCAUCUGCCCCAGAGCCCGGACCCGAGCCCAUCCCCCAGCUCCAACCCAAUUUAGCUUUAGUUCCAGCCUUAAACCCAACCCCAGCCCCAGCUGCAGUUUCAAACCCUAACUAGAACUCCUAGCUCCAACCGAGGCCCCUACCCCACAUCUCAGCCCCAACCCUGAAUCUCAAAUCCCAACCCUGACCCCCCAGCCCCAUUUCUAAAUCCAAUUCCAGUCCCAGCCCGAGAUCCCAACCCCAAAUCUGGCUUGAAACCUCAGCUCCAAAUGCUGGAAUUAGAUCUUAGAUGGCAGCCUCAUCCUUGGCCCCAACCUUGACCCGUGUUCCUGAAUCCAGCCCCCAAAUCCCGACUCCAAGCUCAAAUCCUGCCUCAGCCCCACACUCCAACACCAGCUGGCCCCCAAGCCCCGCCCCAGUACCUCCAUCCCUUGGCGCUUUCCCCUGGGCCGGAGCCCCACAAGCCCCUUGCCCAUUCUCCUUCAAAGCCUCAAGGGCCUGACCAAGGGAGGUUUGCCCCACGUUUUGGCCCCCCUGAGGAGGCAGGAUUUGAGUGCACAGGGAGGAGGGGGUAAAGGCUUUUCAGGUGGGAAACAGGAGCUCCCUAGCUUAAAACACUUGCAGAAUAAACACUUCGGGAUAAAUGCCAUAUUCUUUUACAAGGCUCACAGAACCCCUGUUAUCCACCGCAGGCCAGUCAUUUGCCCCUGGCCCCUGCCCUCCAGCCGGAAUGCCUUUCAGUUAUGUAUGCUCUGCACUGCUCUGCCCUUCCGCUUGGUUUUUGAACUCAAGAGUUC